UUAUAAAUUUCUAUUCAUUAUUAAUUUAUUAUUUGCCUAAGCAAAUUAUGGCAUUAACACAUAUUAGUUCAUGGGCUAAUCAAUCAAAUUUGCCCCUCGGUAUAAAGCUGAAAAUUUACUCAGUUGAGUAUCCGCUAUCUAAUCGUUUUACAAUAUCAUCUCUGGUAAGGUUAGGUACUUGGAACGAUAUCAAUCUAAAAUCAACUGCGCAUGCCGGAUUAGGUUAGAUUAGGUUAAGCCACUGGGUUUCAAAAAUUAUAAUCAAUAAUUCCACA
This is a non-coding RNA of Cinara cedri, 275 nucleotides long. The record is from the annotation of a GenBank genome assembly. NCBI's taxonomy places the organism in Eukaryota, Metazoa, Arthropoda, Insecta, Hemiptera, Aphididae.